GUGGGGAAUUUUGCGCAAUGGGGGAAACCCUGACCCAGCGACGCCGCGUGAGGGAAGAAGGCCUUAGGGUCGUAAACCUCUGUUGUGUGGGAAGAAGAGCGUGACGGUACCACACGAGGAAGUCCCGGCUAACUACGUGCCAGCAGCCGCGGUAAUACGUAGGGGACGAGCGUUGUCCGGAUUUACUGGGCGUAAAGGGCGCGUAGGCGGUCAUUUAAGUCAGCUGUGAAAUGGUUUGGCUUAACCGGAUCAUGCGGUUGAAACUGGAUGACUGGAGUGCUGGAGAGGCAAGUGGAAUUCCCAGUGUAGCGGUGAAAUGCGUAGAUAUUGGGAAGAACACCGGUGGCGAAGGCGACUUGCUGGCCAGUAACUGACGCUGAGGCGCGAAAGCCAGGGGAGCAAACGGGAUUAGAUACCCUUGUAGUCC
This 427-nucleotide ribosomal RNA is filed under the name uncultured bacterium. RNAcentral's name for it is "partial 16S ribosomal RNA". It matches the Rfam family "Bacterial small subunit ribosomal RNA", at positions 354 to 796 of the family's 1533-position model. The record is from RNAcentral.